Long non-coding RNA from Rhipicephalus microplus (southern cattle tick), 313 nucleotides. The record is from RefSeq and is a predicted model, not a curated record. NCBI's taxonomy places the organism in Eukaryota, Metazoa, Arthropoda, Arachnida, Ixodida, Ixodidae.
ACAAAGCACCAUGUCAUUUCUCAUAUUGCUGUGCCUAGAAGGAUAGAAGUAUGACAAAAGCCAAAGUACUGCUCGUAAUCUUCCUGGUGGCUGCUAUCGUGGUUAUAUCGGAGGCUACCUUAAAGAUGGCAAAGUGUUUCGGUCAUUGUGGAAGGUCCGGCACAAUGUGCUCUACUGGAUGCAAAUGUACCAUGAAUGCGAGGUCUCAAAUGACAAGAGAAGGCACGUGUCAGCCAAUUACCCGAAGUAGAAGCCGGAGCCGAAGCAGAAGCAGAACCCGAAACUGAGUCAAAUAAAAUCAUAAAGUGUCAAA